AUGCAUGGGGAAUGGUCGGGAUAGCUCAGCUGGUAGAGCAGAGGACUGAAAAUCCUCG
Molecule: transfer RNA, 58 nt
Filed under: Hydrangea paniculata
Lineage: Eukaryota; Viridiplantae; Streptophyta; Magnoliopsida; Cornales; Hydrangeaceae
Also listed under: 2 other names
Description: partial tRNA-Phe
Rfam family: tRNA (bases 15-58)
About the family: Transfer RNA (tRNA) molecules are approximately 80 nucleotides in length. Their secondary structure includes four short double-helical elements and three loops (D, anti-codon, and T loops).
Source: RNAcentral